RNAcentral lists this long non-coding RNA (388 nucleotides) under Homo sapiens (human). RNAcentral's name for it is "HSALNT0144149". The record is from RNAcentral. Lineage: Eukaryota; Metazoa; Chordata; Mammalia; Primates; Hominidae.
AGUAGGAAUCCUGUCCCUGAAAAAUGCUAAGCGUUUGACCCUGCACAGGUUUAAUAACCAGCCUUAGUCUCACCUGAAAAGUAGGAAUAACAAUAAUCACCUUGAAAAUAUGUGUCAGGAUUAAGGGAGUUCACAUCUGUCAAACUUUAGCACGAAGAGGCAUUCAUUUCAUAUUCAUUGAUAUAAUAUGAAUGGUACCAUAUUCAUUCUUACUAUUUCAUCCAAAUGAGAAGAGAACUUUCAGGGCUCUGGAGGCUGGAAGUCUGAGAUCAAGGCGCAGGGAGAAUGGAAUAGAAGAAGUCAAGAUUGGACAGGACAUGAGUUAGGAGAGAGGGUGAUGGCUUGGACCAAGGUGAUGGUCCUGGAGACAAAGAGAAAUUUGCAGCUU